This 502-nucleotide ribosomal RNA is filed under the name uncultured bacterium. Its description in RNAcentral is "bacterial SSU rRNA". It matches the Rfam family "Bacterial small subunit ribosomal RNA", at positions 21 to 518 of the family's 1533-position model. The record is from RNAcentral.
GGCUCAGGAUGAACGCUAGCGACAGGCCUAACACAUGCAAGUCAGGGGCAGCACAAGGAGCAAUCUGAGGUGGCGACCGGCGCACGGGUGAGUAACACGUAUGCAACCUGCCUGUAAGCGGGGAAUAACCCGUUGAAAGACGGACUAAUACCGCAUAAUACUAAAUUACUGCAUGGUAAUUUAUUUAAACAUUUAUGGCUUACAGAUGGGCAUGCGCAUGAUUAGCUAGUUGGAGAGGUAACGGCUCCCCAAGGCAACGAUCAUUAGGGGUUCUGAGAGGAAGGUCCCCCACACUGGUACUGAGACACGGACCAGACUCCUACGGGAGGCAGCAGUGAGGAAUAUUGGUCAAUGGACGAGAGUCUGAACCAGCCAAGUCGCGUGCAGGAAGAAUUGUCCUAUGGAUUGUAAACUGCUUUUGCAGGGGAAUAAAGUGCAUCACGUGUGAUGUUUUGUAUGUACUCUGCGAAUAAGGAUCGGCUAACUCCGUGCCAGCCGCGGC